RNAcentral lists this ribosomal RNA (1346 nucleotides) under uncultured bacterium. RNAcentral describes it as "bacterial SSU rRNA". It matches the Rfam family "Bacterial small subunit ribosomal RNA", at positions 28 to 1381 of the family's 1533-position model. The record is from RNAcentral.
GACGAACGCUGGCGUCGUGCUUAACACAUGCAAGUCGAACGGAAAGGCCCUGCUUUUGUGGGGUGCUCGAGUGGCGAACGGGUGAGUAACACGUGAGUAACCUGCCCUUGACUUUGGGAUAACUUCAGGAAACUGGGGCUAAUACCGGAUAGGAGCUCCUGCUGCAUGGUGGGGGUUGGAAAGUUUCGGCGGUUGGGGAUGGACUCGCGGCUUAUCAGCUUGUUGGUGGGGUAGUGGCUUACCAAGGCUUUGACGGGUAGCCGGCCUGAGAGGGUGACCGGCCACAUUGGGACUGAGAUACGGCCCAGACUCCUACGGGAGGCAGCAGUGGGGAAUAUUGCACAAUGGGCGGAAGCCUGAUGCAGCAACGCCGCGUGCGGGAUGACGGCCUUCGGGUUGUAAACCGCUUUCGCCUGUGACGAAGCGUGAGUGACGGUAAUGGGUAAAGAAGCACCGGCUAACUACGUGCCAGCAGCCGCGGUGAUACGUAGGGUGCGAGCGUUGUCCGGAUUUAUUGGGCGUAAAGGGCUCGUAGGUGGUUGAUCGCGUCGGAAGUGUAAUCUUGGGGCUUAACCCUGAGCGUGCUUUCGAUACGGGUUGACUUGAGGAAGGUAGGGGAGAAUGGAAUUCCAGGUGGAGCGGUGGAAUGCGCAGAUAUCAGGAGGAACACCAGUGGCGAAGGCGGUUCUCUGGGCCUUUCCUGACGCUGAGGAGCGAAAGCGUGGGGAGCGAACAGGCUUAGAUACCCUGGUAGUCCACGCUGUAAACGGUGGGUACUAGGUGUGGGGUCCAUUCCACGGGUUCCGUGCCGUAGCUAACGCUUUAAGUACCCCGCCUGGGGAGUACGGCCGCAAGGCUAAAACUCAAAGGAAUUGACGGGGCCCCGCACAAGCGGCGGAGCAUGCGGAUUAAUUCGAUGCAACGCGUAGAACCUUACCUGGGUUUGACAUGGAUCGGGAGUGCUCAGAGAUGGGUGUGCCUCCUUUGGGGUCGGUUCACAGGUGGUGCAUGCCUGUCGUCAGCUCGUGUCGUGAGAUGUUGGGUUAAGUCCCGCAACGAGCGCAACCCUUGUUCACUGUUGCCAGCACGUUAUGGUGGGGACUCAGUGGAGACCGCCGGGGUCAACUCGGAGGAAGGUGGGGAUGACGUCAAGUCCUCAUGCCCCUUAUGUCCAGGGCUUCACGCAUGCUACAAUGGCUGGUACAGAGAGUGGCGAGCCUGUGAGGGUGAGCGAAUCUCGGAAAGCCGGUCUCAGUUCGGAUUGGGGUCUGCAACUCGACCUCAUGAAGUCGGAGUCGCUAGUAAUCGCAGAUCAGCAACGCUGCGGUGAAUACGUUCCCGGGGCU